RNAcentral lists this microRNA precursor (60 nucleotides) under Canis lupus familiaris (dog). Its description in RNAcentral is "Cfa-Mir-190-P3_pre stem-loop". It matches the Rfam family "mir-190 microRNA precursor family", at positions 10 to 69 of the family's 78-position model. Lineage: Eukaryota; Metazoa; Chordata; Mammalia; Carnivora; Canidae. The record is from RNAcentral.
UGAUAUGUUUGAUAUUGGGUUGUUUAAUUAGGAAUCAACUAAAUAUCGAACAUAUUCUUA